This 253-nucleotide ribosomal RNA is filed under the name uncultured bacterium. RNAcentral describes it as "partial 16S ribosomal RNA". It matches the Rfam family "Bacterial small subunit ribosomal RNA", at positions 524 to 776 of the family's 1533-position model. The record is from RNAcentral.
UACGUAGGGUGCAAGCGUUGUCCGGAUUCAUUGGGCGUAAAGAGCGUGUAGGCGGCCAGGUAGGUCGGUUGUGAAAACUGGAGGCUCAACCUUCAGACGUCGACCGAAACCCCCUGGCUAGAGUCCGGGAGAGGAGAGUGGAAUUCCUGGUGUAGCGGUGAAAUGCGCAGAUAUCAGGAAGAACACCCGUGGCGAAAGCGGCUCUCUGGAACGGUACUGACGCUGAGACGCGAAAGCGUGGGGAGCGAACAGG